UACGGAGGGUGCGAGCGUUGUUCGGAAUUACUGGGCGUAAAGGGCUCGUAGGCGGCCAACUAAGUCGGACGUGAAAUCCCCAGGCUCAACUUGGGAACUGCGUCCGAUACUGGAUGGCUUGAAUUCGGGAGAGGGAUGCAGAAUUCCAGGUGUAGCGGUGAAAUGCGUAGAUAUCUGGAGGAAUACCGGCGGCGAAGGCGGCAUCCUGGACCGACAUUGACGCUGAUGAGCGAAAGCCAGGGGAGCAAACGGG
This 253-nucleotide ribosomal RNA is filed under the name uncultured bacterium. Its description in RNAcentral is "partial 16S ribosomal RNA". It matches the Rfam family "Bacterial small subunit ribosomal RNA", at positions 524 to 776 of the family's 1533-position model. The record is from RNAcentral.